GCAGUGGUGGUUCUAUGGUAGAAUUCCUGCCUUCCAUGCAAGAGAACCAGGUUCAACUUUUGGCCAGUGCA
Molecule: transfer RNA, 71 nt
Filed under: Loxodonta africana (African savanna elephant)
Lineage: Eukaryota; Metazoa; Chordata; Mammalia; Proboscidea; Elephantidae
Rfam family: tRNA
About the family: Transfer RNA (tRNA) molecules are approximately 80 nucleotides in length. Their secondary structure includes four short double-helical elements and three loops (D, anti-codon, and T loops). Further hydrogen bonds mediate the characteristic L-shaped molecular structure. tRNAs have two regions of fundamental functional importance: the anti-codon, which is responsible for specific mRNA codon recognition, and the 3' end, to which the tRNAs corresponding amino acid is attached (by aminoacyl-tRNA synthetases). tRNAs cope with the degeneracy of the genetic code in two manners: having more than one tRNA (with a specific anti-codon) for a particular amino acid; and 'wobble' base-pairing, i.e. permitting non-standard base-pairing at the 3rd anti-codon position.
Source: Rfam by way of RNAcentral